GAAAUGUCAAAGAAUCAGCUGAGAGAAAAGAAAAGCCCAGAGGAGAAAUGAGGAUGCAAAGAGAAAGAAAAAUACCCCAACCAGAGAGCUGCAAGGAUAUCAGGAAGGGGGAGUAUCUGGGGACAGAGCGGAGCACGCUUUUCUGAACGCCUUACUCCGGGCUGGGGCUGCUUUCUGCAAGCCCGUGCGGUGCACGUGAGGAGGCUUUCCUUGCGGUGGUGAAAUCAAACACACCUAAGGCGUGAGUCCUCCAGACUUUCCUCACCUGGGCAGCUUGCCCCGGCCACCUGUGCCUCGCCCGGAGAAACUCCAACGUGCAGGGCGCUGAUGGACGAGAUAGAGCACGACAUCACCAAGGCUCGGCAGAAGAAGACUAAGGUGGGAUCCUUCCGAAUCAAUCCUGAUGGGACGCAGGAGAGGAGAAAGAUCCCCCUAGCCCAGUCGGAGGCGUUCCUAACGGACCUUUUGGAGAAAGUCUGUGAGCGAAUGAACGACUACAAGCUUGAGGAAGACCCUGUGACGAAGGAGAGAACUUUCAAGAGAUUUGCUCCUAGGAAAGGAGACAAAAUAUACCAAGAAUUUAAAAAAUUAUAUUUUUAUUCUGAUGCUUACAGACCUUUGAAAUUUGCGUGUGAAACUAUAAUAGAAGAGUAUGAAGAUGAAAUAUUCUCACUUAUCGCCCAGGAGGCACACUAUCUAGCUGACAAGCUGUGCAGUGAAAAAUCAGGUACUGUGUCUGAUGUAACAUGUGCUCGCUGCUCGCACACCCUCUCUCUCUCACUCAGCCUUGCAGGGUCUUGUUUGCAGACCGAGCCUCGCUGCCUCUCUGCGAUCCACGGCUCUGACACAGGAUCCUCCGUCUCUGCUGAAUCAGAAACGACAGCAUGUGAGAGAAAACAGAUAAACAGAAACCACAGGGCUUUGUGGCCUUCCUCUUUGUACUUUCUUUCCUCUACAUGUUAAGUGAAUUCAAACAUUCUUGAUUUCCAGUUGUUAAGGAGAAAAUUCUUGUUCAGAAUUAGAAGACUCCAAAGCACUUUCUUUUUAAAAACUUUGAGAGAUAGGAUUUUUCCAUCCUGGACCAGGGAAGGAGACCCUCACUUCAUGGCUUGAGUAUUUGCUACACCAGCAGAAGAUCUGUGUGAAACUUCUGCUAAUCAUACUGAGCUCUAGGAGUGCCGUGCUGCUGGUUGUAGAGAGGAGUAAAGUCACACCCAAAGAAGAGGCUCCAUUUAUGUGUUAGGCUUUAAGAGGCUGGGCGUACCAAAAGGAAGUCUCUGAAACGCAGUCCUGUCGAAUACCUCUUGAGUUGAUUCUUCUGAUAUCACAGGAGUUCUUCCUAUCACUGUAUAUUAUUGGGUGCGAGCCCCCGGUCCUUCCUCUACGAGGAGGCAGUGGAGGGAAGAGUUGAACCUCUUCUCGCACACACACCUGAGACUCCCUGGCUCUCUCUGUGGGCCACAGGAUGGGCUUCAGUUGUGGUGAGUAAUAAUUUUGUUAUUGCGGUUUUUACAUUGAUUUGGAACAUGGUGUUACACAAAAUGCUGAAAUUGAAAAAGACAGGAUGAGUCACCUUUGCCCCGUCUCCUCUUCAAGUCUGAUCCUAAUUGAACGGAGAGUGCAAACUGCACGCCAAGAUUUGCAGAACAAAGGCCUCCCCGCCCACAAGUUCCUCAUGGCCUUGCCUCCGUCCCCGAAACCCCGCUGUUAGCCUCCCUCACUGGAAUAAGGCAUUAGCACAGAAGCCAACGCUGGGGGAAAAGAAAAUCAAUACAGCGUGGAAGAGAAAGCAGGAAGCUAUGGAGGGAGGGAGAGACUGAAGCUCCGGCUGGAAGGACUUCGUUUGUGAUAAGAGCAGAGAGGAAAAGCAGCAAGAAGGAAAAGUCGCUGUACACUUUGGGUCUGGACAUCAAAGAAACAAAGGAAAUGCUUAGAUUCAGAGUGGCAUGUGUGUAGGACAAAGUCCUGCUUUCCUGUCUUGGGGGACACCACUAUCACCCCAUGUGAGAGACCAGUGCUCCCCAAGUGGCCCUCUCCUGGCAUUUCACUGAGACACAAGCUCCCUGAAAGCUGGGGCUUACCUGACCACGUGCCCCCUGCACUCCCAGGGCUGAGACCUGCGUCCGGUCCCUGCUGGACACCCAGAGAGGGUUGACAGCAUGAGCGAAUGAGCUUCUCCGUCUGCUCAUAAAUGUGACGGACACCUUCUCCUACAGCCACCCAUUUCACACAUCAGGCAAACGUCUGUCAAGUCCACUCCUGAAAAUGCUGAAAGAUGUGGCUGGCACUGGGCAGGUGAUGCAGUCACAGCCUCACCCUAGGCCACUCCAGGUCUCUGCUGCCAGGCUACCAGGAGCAGAGAAACACAGGUCCUCUAGCAUAGGUUUCAGAUGAGGAAACCAAGGCCCAGAGAGGAAAAGGCACAGCA
RNAcentral lists this small RNA (2428 nucleotides) under Pongo abelii (Sumatran orangutan). RNAcentral's name for it is "processed transcript". Lineage: Eukaryota; Metazoa; Chordata; Mammalia; Primates; Hominidae. The record is from RNAcentral.